This 785-nucleotide ribosomal RNA is filed under the name bacterium. RNAcentral describes it as "bacterial SSU rRNA". It matches the Rfam family "Bacterial small subunit ribosomal RNA", at positions 729 to 1533 of the family's 1533-position model. The record is from RNAcentral.
CUGGGGCAACCCUGACGGUGAGGGACGAAAGCGUGGGGAGAAAAGAGGAUUAGAUACCCUCGUAUUCCACGCUGUAAACGAUGGAUACUAGCUAUGUGAAGUGUCGACCCUUUACGUGGCGAAGCUAACGCAUUAAGUAUCCCGCCUGGGAAGUACGGCCGCAAGGCUAAAACUCAAAGGAAUAGACGGGGACCCACACAAGCGGUGGAUCAUGCGGCUUAAUUCGAUGGUACGCGAGGAACCUUACCAGGGCUAGAAACCCAGUCGAACUCCGGCAGAAACGCCGGAGGUCUCACAAGGACGGCUGGGCAGGUGAUGCACGGCUGUCGUCAGCAUGUACCUUGAGGCGCUCCGUUCAAUCGGGCAACAUGCGCAACCCUUAUUCUGUGUUUCACGUGUCACAGAAAACUGCCUGGGACAACCAGGAGGAAGGUGAGGAUGACGCCAAGUCCGCGUGUCCCUUGAUGCCCUGGGCCGCACGCAUGAUACAAUGGAGCCGACAGCGGGACGCAAUGUCGUAAGGCGGAGCAAAUCCCUUAAACGGCUCCUCAGUUCGGAUCGAGGUCUGCAACUCGACCUCGUGAAGUUGGAAUCGCUAGUAAUCGCGCAUCAGCCAUGGCGCGAUGAAUAUGUUCCUGGGUCUUGUACUCACCGCCUGUCAAGCCAAGCGAGUUGGGAAUGCCCAAAGUCCCCGGGUUCCACCGGGGCCCAAGGCAGGUCCAAUGAGAGGGGCUAAGUCAUAACAAGGCACGCGUAGCGGAAGCUGUGCGUGGAUCACUUCAUUC